AUUGCUUUUCCGAGGAGCAGAGCGUCAGCCCUCACAUCUGCUGUUUCCUCUGCCAGUCGCUCUCCAGAAGCCCCCGGGGCGACGGCAGAGCCAGCGGGCGGGCACCUUCCUUCUGUACCACGCUGCCGUCCGCCUAGCCGUGCGUCAGCCACGGUACGGUCGCUCGAGCUUCAGAUCUCUAAAGGGCACUUUGUUCUGAGCCCUGGUGUGUGUCUGAGAUGAAGCCUCGUUUUUUUUUUUUUUUUUAAAAGAAGCGGGAUCGUGCGGUGAACACACUCACGCUGGAAGAGGGGGACCAGCAACGUUGCUUGGCAAAUUACAGGUUUUCUUUUAUUGCAAUUAAAAAAAAAAAGCCCACCGGGAAAACGGAGUCUUUUUUUUUUUUUAAUUCAUUUGAAAUGGAAGAUGGUCUUUUGUGGUCAGGGGAGGGGGGCACCCCUGUGGACUUUUUUGAUGUAUUGGGACAAAGACUCCUCUCCUCAUGACUUCACGGACAUGGUUCAUUUCUCUCUGUCCCUGGACCAGUCUGAGGGUUGCACAGUUUGUUUUGAAGAUGCCAGCCUAUUCAAGAUGCUGGGUCGGUUGCCGUUGAGGGACAAGGGACUGACGUGACACCAGAGUCUUCCCUAUCCUAGCCACUUGGAUUUCCUUAAUUUGAUGGAGUUCUUCAUCAAACACUACAAAAUGUGUGUACAACAGAGACAUCAUCGGGCUUCGGAGGGGCCUCUCCAGGCUGGCUGAUUAGCCAAUAACUCCCGAGUUUUCCCUGACUCUAGAACUGGACUGGACUGGGUGUGGGAUAUAGACAAUCAAGGAGGCACAUUAGGAAUCGAGGUGCCCAAUCUAUGUAUGUGUGUGAGAGAGAAACAUGUGGAGUCAGGUUGGUACCUGCUGACUGACAGGGACUUCUCCAUGAUCCUGGCAAAGAGGAAGCCAGGACAGCAAGUGGUCUUAGUCCAAAUGGAACGCCACACAGGCAGACAGGGGUUCGAAAUACACCUAAAAAACCACAACCUCCCACCAAAACAAACCACGAGUCCAUUUAAGUUAAGGGUGCCCACCACUAUCCCAUGAGUAGUCCUUUGAGAGCUCUUGGGUUUCAGCCUCAGUCCAGCAGUUAAGCUACAGAGGUCCCAGCUCCUAAUCAGUAACCAUAGCUUACAGCUACAUAUCCCCAGGGACGGAGGACAUCCAUCCCAGGGGAGAAUGAGUCUGCCUGUGGCCUACAUAUGUUCCUUGAUUUUUCUCAUCCAUGUCAUGUUAAUUUCUGUCUCUGGCCUUAACAGGGUUGGUUGUUCCUAUGAAAAAAUAAAGUACCUUGUGGCCUUGGCUCCUGCUUCUGUCCUUGGGAGAGGACUGACUACCUGGUCCUCUGGUGGCAGGUGAGGCCAGAUAGUCCCACGAUAACUUGAGGCAAAAUGAAUGACAGUCGUCUUUCGUAGAGUGUGAUUUCCUCCUCCGCUAGGUGCUUCGUUUACAUCCCAGCCCCGGGGGACAACGAUAGGUGACAAAAUGCUCUGGAGCAUGGCCGGUCAGACCCAUUUCUAUCAAGUUGACGAGGAAAAUGGUUCCUGCCAGACUCGCCUGUGUCACACCACGGAGAACAUUCAGUGACAGAACAUGUCACCCUGAGAGGGCAGUGACUCACCUCUCUGCUUGUCAUUUGAUGAGAAAGAUGUCCUCCAGGAAGGCAGGCAGCCCCGGCGUCAGCCAUGUAUGCAUGGCGGUAACCGAAUGUCACAGGUCUCUCUCCCCAGCCCCUCUUACCUCAGAACUUGGAUUAUCUGGGAGCAGAACAAGGGGGUUCGAGUGUCACAUAGAACAUGUAAUUAUAUGUAAUUAAAUUAUAGUAAAUUAAAUAUCAUCUGCGGACU
Rattus norvegicus (Norway rat) is the source of this 1874-nucleotide non-coding RNA. The record is from RefSeq and is a predicted model, not a curated record. Lineage: Eukaryota; Metazoa; Chordata; Mammalia; Rodentia; Muridae.